UAGGGAAUCUUCCACAAUGGACGCAAGUCUGAUGGAGCAACGCCGCGUGAGUGAAGAAGGGUUUCGGCUCGUAAAGCUCUGUUGUUAAAGAAGAACACGUAUGAGAGUAACUGUUCAUACGUUGACGGUAUUUUAACCAGAAAGCCACGGCUAACUACGUGCCAG
RNAcentral lists this ribosomal RNA (165 nucleotides) under uncultured bacterium. RNAcentral's name for it is "partial 16S ribosomal RNA". It matches the Rfam family "Bacterial small subunit ribosomal RNA", at positions 355 to 511 of the family's 1533-position model. The record is from RNAcentral.